RNAcentral lists this ribosomal RNA (500 nucleotides) under uncultured bacterium. RNAcentral's name for it is "partial 16S ribosomal RNA". It matches the Rfam family "Bacterial small subunit ribosomal RNA", at positions 28 to 507 of the family's 1533-position model. The record is from RNAcentral.
GACGAACGCUGGCGGCGUGCUUAACACAUGCAAGUCGAACGGGUCUGCCCUGUUUUUUGCGGUGUGGGUCGGUGGCGAACGGGUGAGUAACACGUUAGUAACCUGCCCCUCACUUCUGGAUAACCGCUGGAAAGGGUGGCUAAUACGGGGUGAUCUUGCUGUGCCGCAUGGUGUGGCUGGGAAAGAUUCACUUUUUUGGUGUUUUGGUGGGGUAUGGGCUCGCGGCCUAUCAGCUUGUUGGAGGGGUGAUGGCCUGCCACGGAUUUGACGGGUAGGCGGCGUGAGAGGGUGGGGGGUCACAGUGGGACUGAGAUGCGGCAGAGACCCAUGCGGGGGGGAGCAGGGGGGGGUAUCGCAAAAUGGGAGGGAGUCUGAGGCAGCGGCGGCGCGUGAGGGAUGGGUGCCUGGGGGUUGUGAACCUCUUUCGAGGGUGAAGAAGGUCCGGCUCUUUGUGGUGGGGUUGACGGUAGCCGGGUUAUGAAGCGCCGGCUAAAUACGUG